ACUUAUUCAUUUCAAUUUGUACGAAAGGACCAUUGAAGAAAAAAAGUUUUUUCCUUUGAA
RNAcentral lists this transfer RNA (60 nucleotides) under Tylos sp. clade B MM-2013. RNAcentral describes it as "tRNA-Val". Lineage: Eukaryota; Metazoa; Arthropoda; Malacostraca; Isopoda; Tylidae. The record is from RNAcentral.